This 73-nucleotide transfer RNA is filed under the name Pleodorina starrii. It matches the Rfam family "tRNA". Rfam says of the family: Transfer RNA (tRNA) molecules are approximately 80 nucleotides in length. Their secondary structure includes four short double-helical elements and three loops (D, anti-codon, and T loops). Further hydrogen bonds mediate the characteristic L-shaped molecular structure. tRNAs have two regions of fundamental functional importance: the anti-codon, which is responsible for specific mRNA codon recognition, and the 3' end, to which the tRNAs corresponding amino acid is attached (by aminoacyl-tRNA synthetases). tRNAs cope with the degeneracy of the genetic code in two manners: having more than one tRNA (with a specific anti-codon) for a particular amino acid; and 'wobble' base-pairing, i.e. permitting non-standard base-pairing at the 3rd anti-codon position. Lineage: Eukaryota; Viridiplantae; Chlorophyta; Chlorophyceae; Chlamydomonadales; Volvocaceae. The record is from Rfam by way of RNAcentral.
GGGCCUAUGGCUUAAUGGAUAAAGCGCCGGUCUACGGAACCGGAGAUACCAGGUUCGAUCCCUGGUUGGCUCG